Molecule: ribosomal RNA, 420 nt
Filed under: Triticum aestivum (bread wheat)
Lineage: Eukaryota; Viridiplantae; Streptophyta; Magnoliopsida; Poales; Poaceae
Description: partial small subunit ribosomal RNA
Source: RNAcentral
CUCCUCCAUAGUCUCUCUCCCUCUUGAUCCCAACCUUUCCCGACAUGGUCGCCGCCGUCGCCGCGUCGAUCCCGCGGCCACCGCCUCCUGUUCGCCUCGUUAAUGUUCUCGAACGCCUCCCUGACGUCGACUACGCCAAACGGAACAAACCAGGAAGCCUCUAUGCCGCCGCCAUCUUCUUCUCCUUCCUCGGAUUGCCGCCGUCUGUCGCCAUCGAUUCCGGACGCUCUGCGCCUCCCCGAGCACACUGCCACCUCCCUACGGCUCCCGAUGUUGGAGCCCAGGAGCCAGGCGACACCGUCGACGACUCCUGCUACACUAGAGGUGCCUACUACUACAUGUAGGCCACCGUCGACGAUCAUGAGUAGUUUAGAAGGAUCCCAGGCAGGAGGCAUGCGCCUCUUUCGAUCUGUAUCCCAG